Molecule: ribosomal RNA, 601 nt
Filed under: uncultured bacterium
Lineage: Bacteria
Description: bacterial SSU rRNA
Rfam family: Bacterial small subunit ribosomal RNA
Source: RNAcentral
CCUACGGGAGGCGCAGUGGGGAAUAUUGGGCAAUGGAGGAAACUCUGACCCAGCGACGCCGCGUGCGGGAUGAAGGCCUUCGGGUUGUAAACCGCUUUCAGCAGGGAAGAAGCGAAAGUGACGGUACCUGCAGAAGAAGCACCGGCUAACUAUGUGCCAGCAGCCGCGGUAAUACAUAGGGUGCAAGCGUUGUCCGGAAUUAUUGGGCGUAAAGAGCUCGUAGGUGGUUCGCCACGUCGGAUGUGAAAAUCUGGGGCUUAACCCCAGACCUGCAUUCGAUACGGGCGAGCUUGAGUAUGGUAGGGGAGUCUGGAAUUCCUGGUGUAGCGGUGGAAUGCGCAGAUAUCAGGAGGAACACCAAUGGCGAAGGCAGGACUCUGGGCCAUUACUGACACUGAGGAGCGAAAGCGUGGGGAGCGAACAGGAUUAGAUACCCUGGUAGUCCACGCCGUAAACGGUGGGCACUAGUUGUGGGGACCUUCCACGGUCUCUGCGACGCAGCUAACGCAUUAAGUGCCCCGCCUGGGGAGUACGAUCGCAAGAUUAAAACUCAAANAGAGUAGACGNGNGAGACGCGACGACGACGACGACGGAGGAGGAG